This 58-nucleotide small RNA is filed under the name Staphylococcus aureus. Its description in RNAcentral is "5'UTR". Lineage: Bacteria; Bacillati; Bacillota; Bacilli; Caryophanales; Staphylococcaceae. The record is from RNAcentral.
UUUGCUCGAAUGUUUCUUCUUGUCCUUCGUUAAUAUAUAAAUGAUUUAACACACAUAA